RNAcentral lists this ribosomal RNA (404 nucleotides) under uncultured bacterium. RNAcentral's name for it is "bacterial SSU rRNA". It matches the Rfam family "Bacterial small subunit ribosomal RNA", at positions 917 to 1345 of the family's 1533-position model. The record is from RNAcentral.
GGGCCCGCACAAGCGGUGGAGUAUGUGGUUUAAUUCGAUGCAACGCGAAGAACCUUACCAGGGUUUGACAUCCUGCGAAUCUCUUGGAAACAGGAGAGUGCCUUCGGGAACGCAGUGACAGGUGGUGCAUGGCUGUCGUCAGCUCGUGUCGUGAGAUGUUGGGUUAAGUCCCGCAACGAGCGCAACCCACGUCUUUAGUUGCCAGCAUUUAGUUGGGCACUCUAGAGAGACUGCCGGUGAUAAGCGGGAGGAAGGUGUGGAUGACGUCAAGUCCUCAUGGCCCUUACGGGUUGGGCUACACACGUGCUACAAUGGCAGUGACAAUGGGUUAAUCCCAAAAGCUGUCUCAGUUCGGAUUGGGGUCUGCAACUCGACCCCAUGAAGUCGGAAUCGCUAGUAAUCGC